RNAcentral lists this ribosomal RNA (534 nucleotides) under uncultured bacterium. RNAcentral's name for it is "partial 16S ribosomal RNA". It matches the Rfam family "Bacterial small subunit ribosomal RNA", at positions 318 to 876 of the family's 1533-position model. The record is from RNAcentral.
CCUGUCCCCCCCCCCGCCCCUUUUUGGGGGGGGGCACGGGGGGAAUUUUGGCAAAGGGGGGAAACCCGAUCCACCCCACCGCGUGAAGAAAUAAUGCCCUAAGGAAAUAAAAAUUUCUUUUCCAGGGAAGAAAAAUGCCGGUCCCGGGAGAAAAAGCCCCGGCUAAUUUGGCCCCACCAGCCGGGGUAAUUAGAGGGGGCCAGGUUUUUUUUGGAAUUUUGGGGGUAAAAAGCGCCCGUAGGGGGUUUUAUAAUUCGGGGGUGAAAUCCCGGGGUUCAACCCGGAAGUUCCCUUGAAAAUUGGUGGUUUGGAUUUUGGGAGAGGAAAGGGGAAUUCCGGGUGUAGCGGUGAAAUGCGUAGAUAUCGGGAGGAACCCCGUUGGAGAAGGCGGCUUUCUGGCCCGUUACUGACGUUGAGGCGAAAAAGCUUGGGGAGCAAACAGGAUUAGAUACCCGGGUAGUCCACCCCUUAAACGAUGCUAGACUGGUCGCAGCCUACUCUCGGUGCCGCAGCUAACGCAUAAGAUCCGCCUGG